AGAGUUUGAUCAUGGCUCAGAACGAACGCUGGCGGCAGGCUUAACACAUGCAAGUCGAACGCCGUGUGCUCUGUGCCCUCGGGCCCCGAGCACACGGAGUGGCAGACGGGUGAGUAACACGUGGGAACGUAUCCUUCGGUUCGGAAUAGCCCCGGGAAACUGGGUGUAAUACCGGAUGCGCCCCUCCUUGUGAGGGGGAAAGAUUUAUCGCCGAAGGACCGGCCCGCGGUGGAUUAGGUAGUUGGUGGGGUAAAGGCCCACCAAGCCGACGAUCCAUAGCUGGUCUGAGAGGACGACCAGCCACACUGGGACUGAGACACGGCCCAGACUCCUACGGGAGGCAGCAGUGGGGAAUCUUGGACAAUGGGCGCAAGCCUGAUCCAGCCAUGCCGCGUGGAUGAUGACGGCCCUAGGGUUGUAAAAUCCUUCCCNGGAAG
RNAcentral lists this ribosomal RNA (437 nucleotides) under uncultured bacterium. Its description in RNAcentral is "bacterial SSU rRNA". It matches the Rfam family "Bacterial small subunit ribosomal RNA", at positions 8 to 444 of the family's 1533-position model. The record is from RNAcentral.